UUUUCCACAAUUAGUUUAUGGCUUUUAAUUCUCAUGUGCAUACACACAGUUAUACUUAUUUGUUUGAACAGACUACAGUAAUAAGAGAGGAUCAAUAUCACCACCAUUUCUGAUGUAUAUGCCUUCCGGGAAAUCUUCAGGUAUCUCUCCUUCAACUUGCAGAAUCUCUAUGGCUUCACUGAUCUCACUGACUGGUGCAAAAUUGCUCUGCAGAAUUGUCAAAGCUGGCCUUUAAAUUCAUUAUUGAUGAAUGAAAUGGAAUGAAGCUUCUCCAGAAUGAA
RNAcentral lists this long non-coding RNA (281 nucleotides) under Oryza brachyantha (malo sina). RNAcentral's name for it is "long non-coding RNA (OBRA_LNC002452)". Lineage: Eukaryota; Viridiplantae; Streptophyta; Magnoliopsida; Poales; Poaceae. The record is from RNAcentral.